AUGCAUGCAGGCAAUUGUUUGCGGCUGUGCGGGAAAGGCGGGGUUGAGAACAGUAGGUCGUGUCAUUGCGAUUGCCUUGCUCUCAUCAAGUUGUUGCGGUCCAAAAACAAUGGUUGGUACAUAGCAGAACGCCGUGAGAGGAGCACAACCACAGAAGUUGAUCUAUGGCACAGGAGGUUCACUUUCAGAUUCCCCUUUCUGGAGGAAUUGGAUGAGAGCGCAACCCUGAUGGAACAGGCAGCGUUCGCGGUGGUUCGUUUGGCCAUGAGUGCGGACAAGAAGGUCCGUGAGGAAGACAGAGUAAAAGGUGUGAGGCGAGAGGCGUUGCCGCCGGAGUCCGAGAUGUUCAACGGGAAGAUGAACCUACAUGCAUCUGGUUGGGUUAAGAGGUGUGUUUCCCUAAAUCUAUCAAACAAGUAUGCAUUGCUGAAUUUUUGUUGUUGA
RNAcentral lists this ribosomal RNA (444 nucleotides) under Triticum aestivum (bread wheat). Its description in RNAcentral is "partial small subunit ribosomal RNA". The record is from RNAcentral. Lineage: Eukaryota; Viridiplantae; Streptophyta; Magnoliopsida; Poales; Poaceae.